This 532-nucleotide ribosomal RNA is filed under the name uncultured bacterium. Its description in RNAcentral is "bacterial SSU rRNA". It matches the Rfam family "Bacterial small subunit ribosomal RNA", at positions 777 to 1318 of the family's 1533-position model. The record is from RNAcentral.
AAUAGAUACCCCGGGUAGUCCACGCCGUAAACGAUGGAUACUAGCUGUAUCAGGGUAUCGACCCCUGAUGUAGCGAAGCUAACGCGUUAAGUAUCCCGCCUGUGGAGUACGGUCGCAAGACUAAAACAUAAAGGAAUUGACGGGGGACCCGCACAAGCGGUGGAGCGUGUUGUUUAAUUCGAUGGUAAGCGAAGAACCUUACCCAGGCUUGACAUCCUUGGAAGCUCUACGAAAGUAGAGUGUGCUUUUAGAGCCAAGUGACAGGUGAUGCAUGGCCGUCGUCAGCUCGUGUCGUGAGAUGUUUGGUUAAGUCCAUCAACGAGCGCAACCCUUGUGAUUAGUUGAAUUUUUCUAAUCAGACUGCCCUGGUAACAGGGAGGAAGGAGGGGAUGAUGUCAGGUCAGUAUUUCCCUUACGUCUGGGGUCUACAAACACGCUACAAUGACCGGUACAAAGGGCAGCCAAGUCGCGAGACGGAGCAAAUCCCGAUCAAGGCCGGUCUCAGUUCGGAUAGCAGGCUGAAACUCGCCUG